GGCUCAGUGGCGGAGUGGUCCGCAUCUGUAGGAAAUAACUCAACAUGCGUUUCUCUGAGUUAGCAGAACAACGUUUGUUCGAAUCAAGCCUGAGCCG
Molecule: non-coding RNA, 97 nt
Organism: Mycena rebaudengoi
Lineage: Eukaryota; Fungi; Basidiomycota; Agaricomycetes; Agaricales; Mycenaceae
Source: the annotation of a GenBank genome assembly